Molecule: small nucleolar RNA, 115 nt
Organism: Balaenoptera musculus (blue whale)
Lineage: Eukaryota; Metazoa; Chordata; Mammalia; Artiodactyla; Balaenopteridae
Source: Ensembl
AUGAUGAAGAAAUUACAUGUACUGAAACAUAAUAAAAAAUGAUUUCCCUUUAAAAUGGCUAUGAUGGUAUGCUGAGUUUCUUCAUAGUAUGCCAUUAUUAAAAGGGAAUACAAAU